CAAUAGCGUAUAUUAAAGUUGUUGCGGUAAAAAAGCUCGUAGUUGGAUUUCUGUUGAGAGCGACCGGUCCAUACCAUGUAUGCGUAUCUGGCUUGCUCUCGGCAUCCUCUCGAUAGACGUUACUGCGCUUGAUUGCGUGGUGCGGAUCUCGGGACUUUUACUUCGAGGAAAUUAGAGUGUUCACGGCAGGCUUUCGCCAGAAUACAUUAGCAUGGAAUAAUACUAUAGGAUCUUGGUUCUAUUUUGUUGGUUUCUAGAAUUGAGAUAAUGAUUAAUAGGGACAAUUGGGGGCAUUCGUAUCAACACGUCAGAGGUGGAAUUCUUGGAUUGUGUUGCGACGAACUACUGCGAAGGCAUUUGCCAAGGAUGUUUUCAUUGA
RNAcentral lists this ribosomal RNA (379 nucleotides) under uncultured eukaryote. Its description in RNAcentral is "partial 18S ribosomal RNA". It matches the Rfam family "Eukaryotic small subunit ribosomal RNA", at positions 592 to 976 of the family's 1831-position model. The record is from RNAcentral.